Long non-coding RNA from Pseudophryne corroboree (corroboree frog), 2983 nucleotides. RefSeq lists it as uncharacterized. NCBI's taxonomy places the organism in Eukaryota, Metazoa, Chordata, Amphibia, Anura, Myobatrachidae. The transcript is spliced from 4 exons. The record is from RefSeq and is a predicted model, not a curated record.
GUUACUUCAGCACCAUAGACAGUGAACGCAAGGGACGCAGCAUGAACCUCCCCUCGGGGUUAUUUCAGCACCAUGGACAGUGAACGCCGCAUGAUAUUCCCCUCUGGGUUAUUUCAGCACCAUGGACAAAGGACACAGCGAUUGAAGAUCUUGGCUGCGUGUUUUCAAUUAACAUAGAAGCGACUGCGCUGAUUGACAGGAAUAUGAUGGGAAUACCGGUGGGAUUGGGGGGCUGGUUUAUGUACACGUGAAAUUCUGGCACAUCUCCCUGGAUGUCCUUAUUAAUGAUUAGCGUGUAUGUUUUAUGUCUGUGAUAGGGUGAUAAAACGCUUAGCUCAGAGGAAGGGGCAGAUCUCCCAGUGUUUUCAAUAUUGAUUCACUUCAUUGGACAAAUCCUAAUGCUGGGGGAGGGGAGGACACGGCAGCAGUGCCAUUUACUCAUGUUUUCUGUCUUCCGUGGAUGUGGGAGCAGCUGCACAUAGCUGGGGGAAAAAGGUUGAGGUCACAUCCCUUGUGUUAGGAGGAGCUGCAGACCCCUAUACGGACCACUUGGAUACAAAAAUGAAGAAACCCUCAAACACACCUUGAUGUCAAGCUGAAUUCAGGAGUGACUUCUGAGACCUAAGGAAAACUGAUAGUGCUGCUCCUACAUCAUAAGCCUUUUGUUUCCAGCCAUCUGCUCUAACUUGACCUACAGUAUUUGGGGUUUGAUGGGGGAUUGUUCGGAUGACAGCUGGAACUGUAGUAAUCACAGGAGGAAUCCUAGCAACUGUGAUACUUCUGUGCAUUAUUGGAGUGCUAUGCUACUGCAGACUACAGUAUUACUGCUGUAAAAAGGACGAGCUGCGUGGGGAGGAAGAGGAGGACCAGUGUCAUCGUGGCCACUCACACUUUCCCUGCCAUGACUGUUCCUCGGCGCAUCUCGAUGGAGUACAUCCUCCAUAUGUGGCACCAGCUUACUCCCCAUAUGGUUCUCCCUACAUCAUACGGACGGCAGAUACCAUGUGCAAUGGAAGAGAGAGAGAUUCAUACACUCCAAUUCACUAUGCAGAGGCUGGACCGCUUCUUGUGAUGGGGGGUACUCCCAGUCUUUCUAGGGGGCUACAGGCUCUCAGUACCCAGGUAUGAACUGCAAAGUAACCAUCACAGCUCUCGGUGUUCUAACCUUGCCAGUGACAUUAUUCCGCUCCUGAGUACCCAUAACAGCCCUAUUCCGUGGGAAUUUCAUGAACUUUUUGGGACUAUUAGCAUAAUUGGGACCUGUAGACAUGGUAUAAAUAUGUCUACAGCACCAUGUAUAUUGUAAAAGAGACUACAGUACUUUUCCAGCUGGAAGGUUAAGAAGUAUUUUGUGAAGGAAGAAUCUUUGGCAUUUGGAAUUAUCAAAUUUGUUUGAACUAAUACUUUGUAUUUCUAGCUUGGAAAAGUUUUAUUUUGUCCUGGGAAAAAUUAUGUGAUUUUAAAUCUGAAUUAUUGUAUAAAGUACUAAUAUUACAUAUAUUGUUAUAUAGAAACUUCAAAUGGGAACUACUGCAGUCACCAUAAUGGUCUGCACAUUCGGUGAUACAGGCUUUGAGAAACAGCCAAAAGAUUGUGAUUUUAAUUGAUAUUCAUGACAAUAUGAUCUUUAAAUUUAGUAGGAAAUGGGAACAUCAUUGGAACACUUCAUUCAGCACAAAAAAGUAGUAGGCAUAUGGUGCUGUGUACCAGUAAUCUAAGACAGGCUAUGCAUAAAGCAACACUGAGGCAGGAAAAUGUCUCUUUUUAUCAGUGUUUGGUUUAGCCCACUAAAUUAAUAAUACAAUACAUUGUGUAGGCAAAACCUGCACUACUAGCUAGGAGCCCAGAGGCUGUACUGUGGGUUAUGGCUGUACUGUGGCUCAAAGUCCUGCCCCUUCCCUGGAAGCCAAGUGGCUGUUAUGUUGGUUAUGCUUACACUCCAGUUCCUCCAUGGAGCCCAAGUGGAGCCCAAGUGGCUGAUCUUUGGGUUAGGCUCACAGUCCUGCCGCCUCCCCGGAGCACAAGUGACUGCUCUAUGGACUAGACUCACAGUCCUGUCCUUUCCAUGGAGCAAAAGUGGCUGAGCUUUGGGUAAAACUCCCAGCCCCGCCUCCUCUCUUGAGCCCAAGUGAGUGCUGUAUGGGCUAGAAUCACAGUCCUGUACGAUCCUUGAAUCCCUAGUGGCUUCUCUGUGGAUUAGGCUGCCAGUCCCGGCCGAAAACAGGGGUUGUGUGAUUUUUUUAAUGAGAGGGUUUAAGUGGGAGGACAUUGUGGCUUUCCAUUGGGCCAUCCUUGAAUCCCAAGUGGCUGCUCUGUGGAUUAGGCUGCCAGUCCAGGCCGAAAACAGGGGUUGUGUGAUUUUUUUUGAGGGGAUGUACAGUAAGUGGGAGGACAUUGUGACUUUCCAUUGGGUCAUCCUUGAAUCCCAAGUGGCUACUCAGUGGAAAAGGCUGUCAGUCCUGGCCGAAAACAGGGGCAGUGUGAUUUUUUUUUGAGGGGAUGUAAGUAGGAGGACAUUGCAGCUUUCCAUUGGGUCAUCUGGUAAUGACCACCAUUCAGCACCCUAGGUGGUAGUGCAGCUUAAAGUCAUUAAUUGAAAUCAUACUAUGUGGUAAAUUUACUAAGAUGGGAGUUCUAUUUAAGAUGGGAUGUUGCCCAUAGCAACCAAUCAGAUUCCAGGUAUUAUCUUCUAGAAGGUGCUAGAUAAAUAAGUAGAAUCUGAUUGGUUGCUAUGGGCAACAUCUCAUCUUAAAUAGAACUCCCAUCUUAGUAAAUUUACCCCCUUGUGCUCAAUAGUGUUCUGUCCUAGAACUCACUUGUUUUACAGUCAAAUAAAUAUUUUAUAAUACAGUAUAUUAUUAGGUAACUCAAUAAAUGAAUGCCAUUGUUUUCAAAGUCUAUUAAAAUCUUUUCUAUUUCACCAUAGUAAGCUUGAGAGAUCAAAUCUGAGUUUGCCAAAUAAAUGUCAUGAAAAAAGGGGAAA